This 191-nucleotide ribosomal RNA is filed under the name uncultured bacterium. Its description in RNAcentral is "partial 16S ribosomal RNA". It matches the Rfam family "Bacterial small subunit ribosomal RNA", at positions 335 to 524 of the family's 1533-position model. The record is from RNAcentral.
ACUCCUACGGGAGGCAGCAGUGGGGAAUCUUGCGCAAUGGGCGAAAGCCUGACGCAGCGACGCCGCGUGAGUGAUGAAGGCCUUCGGGUUGUAAACUGCUUUUGUACGGGAAGAAAUGUUGCUACGUGUAGCAAUUUGACGGUACCGUAAGAAUAAGGAUCGGCUAACUUCGUGCCAGCAGCCGCGGUAAU